This 429-nucleotide ribosomal RNA is filed under the name Actinomycetes bacterium. RNAcentral describes it as "Actinobacteria bacterium partial 16S ribosomal RNA". It matches the Rfam family "Bacterial small subunit ribosomal RNA", at positions 355 to 776 of the family's 1533-position model. The record is from RNAcentral. Lineage: Bacteria; Bacillati; Actinomycetota; Actinomycetes.
AAGGGAAUCUUCCGCAAGGGGCGAAAGCUUGACGGAGCAACGCCGCGUGAGGGAUGAAGGUUUUCGGAUCGUAAAACUCUGUUAUAAGGGAAGAACAAAUGGGUAAGUAACUAGGCACGUCUUGAGGGUACCUAAUAAGAAAGCCACGGCUAACUACGUGCCAGCAGCCGCGGUAAUACGUAGGUGGCAAGCGUUAUCCGGAGUUAUUGGGCGUAAAGCGCGCGUAGGCGGUUUUUUAAGUCUGAUGUGAAAGCCCACGGCUCAACCGUGGAGGGUCAUUGGAAACUGGAAAACUUGAGUGCAGAAGAUGAAAGUGGAAUUCCAUGUGUAGCGGUGAAAUGCGCAGAGAUAUGGAGGAACACCAGUGGCGAAGGCGACUUUCUGGUCUGUAACUGACGCUGAUGUGCGAAAGCGUGGGGAUCAAACAGG